AGAGCUGUGAAUACAGAGCCAGAGAGCCACAAUAAUUUUUACUAAGUAAUUUAGGGCUUUAGAUUCUGAAUUUUACAAUAAUGAGUGAGGAGCAGUACAGGAGACGGUAGUGGAAUGAUACAUCCUCUGACGGCUGAAUUUUUCUGACUUUAGUUUUUGUAACAUGGAACUUAUAAAAGCAUGGCAGUUGUGGCCUAUUUAACAUCUGCAAUGCAAGAGACAAGUACCAAAUUUUUCAAAUAUUUACUUAUCAUACAGUUGAGAUCCUGUGACCUUAUAACUGCUAGUACCUUUAGAAAAUGUGGAUUGUUCUCAUGAUUUUUUUCCCCAGGAGAGAGUUCAUCAAAACCUUCUGAUGUCUCCUUUAUGUUUACAAAGGAAAAGCAAUAUCCUUUAUGCCUAACUAUAACCUCAUUAAAAAAAAAAAAGUUUCUUCCCAGGACAUCCUGAGGCCAGAUAUUUCA
Non-coding RNA from Cyanistes caeruleus (blue tit), 464 nucleotides. The record is from RefSeq and is a predicted model, not a curated record. Lineage: Eukaryota; Metazoa; Chordata; Aves; Passeriformes; Paridae.